UACGUAGGGUGCGAGCGUUGUCCGGAAUUAUUGGGCGUAAAGGGCUCGUAGGCGGUUUGUCGCGUCGGGAGUGAAAACCCAGGGCUUAACCCUGGGCUGGCUUCCGAUACGGGCAGGCUAGAGUUCGGUAGGGGAGACUGGAAUUCCUGGUGUAGCGGUGAAAUGCGCAGAUAUCAGGAGGAACACCGAUGGCGAAGGCAGGUCUCUGGGCCACUACUGACGCUGAGAAGCGAAAGCAUGGGGAGCGAACAGG
Molecule: ribosomal RNA, 253 nt
Filed under: uncultured bacterium
Lineage: Bacteria
Description: partial 16S ribosomal RNA
Rfam family: Bacterial small subunit ribosomal RNA
Source: RNAcentral